Molecule: long non-coding RNA, 258 nt
Filed under: Lathyrus oleraceus (garden pea)
Lineage: Eukaryota; Viridiplantae; Streptophyta; Magnoliopsida; Fabales; Fabaceae
Description: Pisum sativum (pea) long non-coding RNA (PSAT_LNC013396)
Source: RNAcentral
UUGGCUGAAUUUUUUUGGUGAGGUUAAAGAAAUGGGGGAAAUAAGGAUACACUACACAGAUGACUCGUUAGACACAUGUUACUUUAUUGAAAGGGAAAACAAGCAACUAAAACAUAAAACAUACUAAAAUUAAAGAAAAAUGGUAAAAAGCGAUAAAAGUAAAGAAAAGCGAUAAAAAACAAUAAAAAUAAAGGAAAGAUGAAAAGCGAUAAAAUCUCCUCCCACACUUAAAUCGAACAUUGUCCUCAAUGUUUCGAU